RNAcentral lists this ribosomal RNA (494 nucleotides) under uncultured bacterium. RNAcentral describes it as "bacterial SSU rRNA". It matches the Rfam family "Bacterial small subunit ribosomal RNA", at positions 28 to 526 of the family's 1533-position model. The record is from RNAcentral.
GACGAACGCUGGCGGCGUGCUUAACACAUGCAAGUCGAACGGGGUUAAAUGGGAGCUUGCUUCUGUUUAACCUAGUGGCGGACGGGUGCGUAACGCGUGAACAAUCUGUCUCUGCGAGGGGGAUAACACUUAGAAAUAGGUGCUAAUACCGCAUAGGACCACGGCAUCGCAUGGUGCUGAGGUGAAAGGGCUUCGGUCUGCGCAGAGGUGAGUUCGCGUCCCAUUAGCUAGUUGGUGAGGUAACGGCCCACCAAGGCGACGAUGGGUAGCCGAUCUGAGAGGAUGACCGGCCACACUGGAACUGAGAAACGGUCCAGACUCCUACGGGAGGCAGCAGUGGGGAAUAUUGGGCAAUGGGCGAAAGCCUGACCCAGCAACGCCGCGUGAGGGAAGAAGGUUUUCGGAUCGUAAACCUCUGUCGCAAGGGAAGAAAGAAAUGACGGUACCUUGCAAGGAAGCUCCGGCUAACUACGUGCCAGCAGCCGCAGUAAUAC